Molecule: long non-coding RNA, 3503 nt
Organism: Gasterosteus aculeatus aculeatus (three-spined stickleback)
Lineage: Eukaryota; Metazoa; Chordata; Actinopteri; Perciformes; Gasterosteidae
Source: Ensembl
GUAAAUACUCAACACCGACCCCAACGGAAGCCUGGAGCCCGAAUCGUGGAGUCCGGUUUGGCAGACGCGGCACUUGACCUUUUACCUUUUGUGAAGUACAGUUUGCAGACUUUACUUGCGUUGGCAGAUUUAAACACAAUGAAGCUCAGCAGGGUGGAAUCACAGCAGCAAUAAGCACAACAGCUGUGUUACACGGAGCCGAGCAGGACUCAGCAGUUGGUAAACUUUUUUUUUUAAAUGUAAUUGCGUGCAUGUCGUUUGGACGGUCUAUGUGAGUGUGUGUGUGUGUGUGUGUGUGUGUGUGUGUGUGUGUGUGUCCAGGUGUAUGGGCAGAUGUGUGUGUGUGUGUGUAAAUGAUCUUAAUCUCUCUCAAAGUCAAUUCGUCUGAUACUAGGAAGAGCAUGUUGUCUCAGAGCUCUAUAAUGGUGCUUUGAUGAGAAUUUUGUCAGAAUCAAUCAGGUUGAUUCAAUGUAAUUGCAAAACGGUUCAAGCCGCGUCUGCAGGAGCCUUCGUCCUUUGUAAUGUUCAUAUCAACACGGUUACGUUGUAUUAAAAUGUUCCUCUCAUGUGAGUAUCUAACGUUCAUUUAAGAUAAAUCUCUUCCUCUGAUCUCAGUCGUGUGUUUGGUGCUUUCAUCCAAUGCAAUCUGCUAUCUGCUCUCUGCAAAUAAUUAACGUUUUCUGAAUCAUAUCUUCUAAACAUGAUAAAAUCAUAGAUUUGUCCACAUAGUUCAGCUUCAAAAAGACGGAUUAGGUAAGAAAAGAAUAACAUUUCAUCCUUCCCCUUUAUUUGUUUGAUUUAUUUGCUGCUGUGCAGCAUCAUAAUUAAGAAAGCCCACAAAAAGGUGUCCACGUAGAAUAGUUACAGCCAAGAUCAAAGCUGUGCCAGGUAAAUUAAGCAAUAAAUUCAGUUUUUCUGUUUUAUUGCCAUUGAUUUUCAAACUGUGUUCCUGCAACAACGAAAAUACUCCCAAUUCAAUUGAAAUACCUGUACCCACUUCUCAGAUAGGUAGUUGGCCAUUAUUGUUUUUUUUUGCACAAAGAAACUGGUAAACAGAGAUGAACACACAUAAUAACAUUAUUCACAUCGCCAGUACGUGGUGCUUUUUAGGGCCAGCGUGGCCCCUUGUUGACCCCUUGAGUCAAUGGUGACUAAGCUAUUCUUUUAAUAAAAUGAUAUGCCCAUAUACUGCAUAGAGUCAAAGAAACAUGUUUUUAUCACUUUAUGGGGAAAAGUGAAACAAAAACCUCUCCGCCAAGGUAAAUGAGCAAUGAGAUUUCAAGGAGAAAAUAGUCCUCUUCAGAUUUAAUGGUUAUUUUUUAGCAGGUUUUCAUUUGCCAGUUUUCGACCUGACUCAAUUCUCAGAGGAUGCAGGCUCAGUUUUAAGGUUACAGAUAUUAUAUAAAACUAUUGAAUCUAAGGAACCCAACCAUUAAAGUCUGUCAUGAAUUAGGCUAAAACUGGCCUGGCCUUGAAAUCUGAGACCCUUGUGGAUUCUGUGUGUCCAAUUUUAUGCAUGACGUUAGUCCCCAUAGUAGCUAUUUAACUGUAGUGAGAACAUUUAAAUAUCUCCUGUGCUGUAUAGAAAAGGCUAAAUGGAGGGGGAGCAGAGUAGACACCUAAAGGAAAAUUUAAAUAAACAUUUUCAGUAUACACUAUAUAAUAUAUUCAAUUUCACAUAAAAACUACGCCUCAUGAAUUGCUUAGUUUAUUACUGUGAUGCUAAUGUAAAGAUCUCUGUCGGAAGAUUUUAUAAAAGGGCAAAAUGCAAAUUUUUUGGUGCUAUUUUAUUGUUACAGACCAUCGGACCCAUGUUAAGUAAAUAUGCAGUGGAAUAUUUUGCUAUCUUGAUUUUGAUUUCCUUUGCAGACGUCAUUGUUAUGGGUAAAACCACAAAUUCUUUCUCGCCUUGUGCUGAAACAAGUCCGCCACAGGCGAUCUCCUCCUCUCCGCGGCCUCAAGCCGUCGAACCAUCGAGAAGGGAUCCUGUUUGCAAACCACCUUUCUGUUGUGCACCGUUUGCACCGCAUUGCUCUCGAGGAGGCCAGACUGUCAAUUAAAGACCGUGCUGCUGCUCCGCCGCGUCUCUACGAGAGGCCCGGGCGGCCAUGAAAAAGCGCAAUCAAAGGACGUGAUUGCCAUCAUGCGACCACCUCUCUGGAAGCAGCACAGCAAGUCAACAUCAAGCAACGUGUUUUUUAUCGGGAGGACGACUUGAUUGCUGACUGAACCUGGAAUUUUCUUUGGCUGAAAACAGCUGCGACUGAAACGACUGUUUUCUCCACUAAGAUCCACAAAAAGACUUUCUAUGAUAACUUAGUAAAACGGGUUGAGCACGUUCACCACGAGGCAACAACUAAGUUUUUGUAUUUGCCGUCCGUGCUUUAGUUUUUCAAUGCAAUAUUGUGGAGGAAAUUGGUCCCUCAACUAUAACGGAGGAAGUAUGAACUCCUGCCUACAUCUUGACACAUACAGAUUGUCACACUAUGCCACACGUGUGCAAUAAAAUCCCCUUAGAGUGCUUGAAUUUUCUUUUUGAUUAAAUCUGUGUCUGUGUGUGCAAGGGCCCUUGCAAGGGUCGACACACAGACCCACAUUAAGGCAGAGCAGAAGAGAGAUUUACAAAACCUCUGAAAGGUUUGGCCAUGAAUUUCUGUGUUUCAUUCCCCUCUUCGACACAAUGGCGACCGAAAACAUUUAGUGCUCAGAAUUAUUAUUUUGUCUAUUGAAAGGAAGCCGUUGUGCUUAAUCCGCCGCUGUAAUACACUCACCAUGUUCCACAUCCUUCUUUCCACACACCAGAAAUACAGGUGACACCUUUAAAAGAAUAAGCUCAAUCACGUAUUGCAAAAUGCAGUUUAGGAUGUGCUUGCAAAAGUAAAAGAAACUUCAGUGACACUGACGUAAAGAACAUUUGUCUUCUCCACAUUUACUAGUUAAUGCAUGUAUUGGCGUACUGAUUGUUGUUAGGGAUUUGUCUCUGUUUGUUGUCCCAUGCAUUUGCUGAUCACGGCCACUUUUCUGUCUUUUAUAAAAGCUUUCCUGGCAGCAUGUCUAGUAGAAUUUCAUUACUCAUCAAUGUGCAGCAACGCAGGUAAGAUUGAAACUCUGACUUUCUCCAGUGACCCACGAUGCUCCAUGAGGUCUACCAGCUGUUGAGAGGUUGCUGGCACCUCUAACCUCUGGGGAAGUUGUUUCGCACCAGGAGGUUACAUGAUGAUAGCUGCCGUCAUGUCCUUUAAAGAUGUGCAUCAGGGGUCAAGGGGUCAAGGUGUGAAUUAAUGUGUAAUGAUCUGGAAAGCAGAGACAAAAAAAGAAAAACAUGCUGGUGUGGGGCUUCUGCAAAUCCAAUCCCUGGAUGAUAUCCUGUUCUUACCGAAUGCCUGAGGAGGGGCAGGAUUUUUUUUUUUUAAUUAAAACAGAUUUUUUUUUGUUAAUAAAGACGUCCAGUGUUAUGUGUAGCAGCCUAAAGGCGCGAGGAACCAUCUCAAUGUGCGAGUCCC